Chelmon rostratus (copperband butterflyfish) is the source of this 2615-nucleotide RNA transcript. It is a transcript of the gene named leucine rich repeat containing 2, with no coding region annotated. NCBI's taxonomy places the organism in Eukaryota, Metazoa, Chordata, Actinopteri, Chaetodontiformes, Chaetodontidae. The record is from RefSeq and is a predicted model, not a curated record. The transcript has 11 exons.
CACACACACACACAGUCAGAUCUCAGUAAACAAGCUGGUGAGCAGGACGUCAGCAGGGACUCACAGGAGCAGAGAUGGGUUUGGAGAGGAAGGUGGACGUCCCGGUCUAUGAUCUGUCUCUGAUCAGGGGGAUCUGGGAGGUCCGGGUGAAGAAACACAGACAGAAACAGAAGAAGGAGCAGGACAGGAUCGAGAAGAGCGCCCUCGCCAAGAUCGACCAGGCGUGGCAGUACCGCAUCUACUGCAAGACUCUGAAGACCACUGAACGCAACCUGCUGCAUCAUUACCUGGAGAGAGAGAACCUGAUUGAUAUACAGCCCUGCACAGAAGGGGAGCAACAGGAUCAGCAGGAUCAGAAGGAUUCGAAGGAGAACAAGCUGAUCUUCCAGCUGAAUGGAGAUCGUUGGAUGAACUUCCCCAAGGAGCUGCAAUGGAUGACCUACCUGAAAGAGUGGCACGUCAGGGGGACAAGGAUCAGUCGGCUGCCCGAAUACCUGGCUCUGUUCACCCAGCUCACCGUGCUCGAGAUCCCCAAAAACACCAUAGCCGAGCUGCCACCUGAGAUCGGUAAGCUGACGGAGUUGAAGGAACUAAACGUCAGCUACAACCGUCUGUCCAGGGUUCCUCCAGAACUCGGAAACUGUGAGAACCUGAAGAGACUCGAACUCACAGGAAACCUGAAUCUGUCCGAGCUGCCGUUUGAGCUGAGCAGCCUGAAGCAGCUCGUCCACCUGGACGUCGCAGAGAACAAGUUUGUGUCGAUCCCGAUCUGCGCUCUGAGGAUGAGCGGCCUGCAGCUGCUGGACCUGAGCAACAACAGUCUGACUGACCUGCCGCAGGACAUGGACAGGCUGGAGCAGCUGGUCACUCUGUUCGUCCAUAAGAACAACCUGUCUUACCUCCCUCACUGUCUCAGCAACAUCUCCACGCUCAAGAUGAUCGUCGUCAGUGGCGACGAGCUCAACUGCAUCCCGACCAGACUGUGCAGGAACCCCGACAUCAAGUUCAUUCGACUGUACGACAACCCACUGAGUGAAGCGAAGAGGAAGGAGGAGGAGAAGAAGAAGGAGGAGAACAAGAGGAGGAGGUGGAGAGAGCAGAGAGAGGAGGCGAAGGACAGCAGAGAGAAGGAGUUCAUCGAGGCCUACGUCAGCUCGCUGAAGGACAGAGACACCGUCCCCUACUCCACCACCAAGGUCUCCAUCUCCUGCCUGCUGUGAGGAAGAGGAGGAUGAAGACGAUGAAGGUGGAGCUGACAGUCUGUCACCACGCGAGCGACUGAAGGAGAAUUAGACUCAGAGACGACGUCUGCUCGCUUCAAUGGAAACUGCUCCGACAGGUCUUCAUCGAGUUUGACGAUCGACUGGCGCCCUCUUCCUCUGCUGUGGUUUCAUGCUUCUCUGACUGGAGAAAUGGCGCCACCUACUGCUCAUCUCGAGGGAAAACUCCUGAUAAUUACAUAACCGUAGUGGAUGGAAACAUUCAUUCACAUUUAUUUUUUUUUGCUGAUUUUCUUGAAAUUCAGUUAACACGUGUGAUUCAUUUGUAUGGAAACCAACCGAAUGUGUCACGACAGGGAGAGAGUGCAUCAGAAUGUCGACUUUCAGAGUUAAAAUUCUGAGAUUUUAGGUGAAAAGUCAAAUUUAGAGCAAAUAAAAUGAAAAAGUGAAUGAAAUUAGUUGCAUUCUGAAAUGAGCGUACGAGACAUGAAGCCAAAAAACUUCUGUUCUUUCCCAGAAUUUCGAUAUUGGAUUUUUACUUUUGUCAUUUUUAAUAAUUCAUCUAUUCUUUUCCUUCUUUGGCAGGAAUGACCUUCCGUAUGUUUAAGCUGAUGUUUUGUUCCUUUAUUUCAGGACUUUCUCUUUUGAAAGUCAUCAUCUUGGCCGGCUCGCUCUUCUAAAAGAGGUUUUAAUCUCAGUCACAUUGAUCAGAUCUGACAGAUUUGAGUGUUUUCAAAUAUGAAAAUAACUUUUUUCAUUCCAAAAUCAGAUUUCCAACAUUUAAACAUGUUAUAUUUAUGAGCAUAUCAUCACAUAUUAUUAAAACACCAGGUCAGACAUGAAGGUUCACUGCUUCAUCAUGAGCCAUGUGUUCAGAAACAGUCCAUUCAUUUACUCUUUCAUGUUUUAGAAGUAUUGAUCCUUGAUGAUCAGGUCUUUGAUGCCUGAUGGAUGUAGAUAACGUCUGGUCUGUGCAGUGAGAUGAUUUCCAUUUAUUUCCUCCACAUGAACUGAACAUGUUUGGGAUAAACUGGACUUUAUGGCUGAAGGUGUGAAAGUUGUGACCAAAGAGAAACGAGGCUGAACGUCGAGUAAAAGCUUCAUCGGGUGAAAGUUUAAACUCUGCGGGGAAUUUCUUCUUUUUAAAGCGGAGCUGCAGUCACUAAGAAAUGUAAAUAUAACAAAGGUUUAGAUUCAUUUUAAAAAGCGAUUGUGGGUUAUGAUUCGUUUCUGCUUUCAAAUGUUUGAGUACAAAUUUUUAUUCCUUAUUUGGCCAAAAAUCUUCAAAAUGAAGAGAAAUGUUUUUACUUUUAUUAGUAUUUCCUGUGUUUUUGUGUGUGACGCAUCGUGUCUGUUUCUAUUGUGACAUUUUUUCAUUUCAAUAAAUGUCUGAAG